GAAAUAUAUAAAAUACAAAAUUUUAAAAAUUUUAAAAAGGAAAAUAUUCUCUCUAGUGUUGUGUACAGCCUUUGGAUAUCAAAAACAGAUCAUUAACUUCAGUUGUUGUCCACUAGGAGUAAAGAACUAAAAUCACAGGACACUACAUACAGACGAAGUAUCAUGCUUUUGUCAAGGAGAAGGAAAAUGCAGUCCUGGUAAAAAUCUAACCAUCUGAGGCCAGCCAGCUAUCUUUGCCUGAAUGAGAGGGGCUCCUGAGAAUAAGGAGCUAAUGCCAUCCUGGCCUAUAAUGUGCAGACCCCGUUGGAACCCCAUACUUAAUCUGGUUCAUACAUCUCCUCACUCUACAGUCAGAUUGCCCUCUCACCCUCAGCAGGACCCCACAUCCCACAUUAUUGGGAAAGUGAAGAGGAUUCAAGAUGGCAACAGUGCUCAAAGGGAAGGAAGAUAA
This is a long non-coding RNA of Pan paniscus (pygmy chimpanzee), 451 nucleotides long. The record is from Ensembl. Lineage: Eukaryota; Metazoa; Chordata; Mammalia; Primates; Hominidae.